CACUAGGGAGGAGGUCCCACCUGACCCCAUGCCGAACUCAGAAGUGAAACGCCGUAGCGCCGAUGGUAGUGUGGGGUCUCCCCAUGCGAGAGUAGGGAACUGCCAGGC
RNAcentral lists this ribosomal RNA (108 nucleotides) under Salmonella enterica subsp. enterica serovar Typhimurium. Lineage: Bacteria; Pseudomonadati; Pseudomonadota; Gammaproteobacteria; Enterobacterales; Enterobacteriaceae. The record is from RNAcentral.